CGGAGGAAAAGAAACCAACCGGGAUUGCCUUAGUAACGGCGAGUGAAGCGGCAAAAGCUCAAAUUUGAAAUCUGGUACCUUCGGUGCCCGAGUUGUAAUUUGGAGAGGGCAACUUUGGGGCCGUUCCUUGUCUAUGUUCCUUGGAACAGGACGUCAUAGAGGGUGAGAAUCCCGUGUGGCGAGGAGUGCGGUUCUUUGUAAAGUGCCUUCGAAGAGUCGAGUUGUUUGGGAAUGCAGCUCUAAGUGGGUGGUAAAUUCCAUCUAAAGCUAAAUAUUGGCGAGAGACCGAUAGCGAACAAGUACAGUGAUGGAAAGAUGAAAAGAACUUUGAAAAGAGAGUGAAAAAGUACGUGAAAUUGUUGAAAGGGAAGGGCAUUUGAUCAGACAUGGUGUUUUGUGCCCUCUGCUCCUUGUGGGUAGGGGAAUCUCGCAUUUCACUGGGCCAGCAUCAGUUUUGGUGGCAGGAUAAAUCCAUAGGAAUGUAGCUUGCCUCGGUAAGUAUUAUAGCCUGUGGGAAUACUGCCAGCUGGGACUGAGGACUGCGACGUAAGUCAAGGAUGCUGGCAUAAUGGUUAUAUGCCGCCCGUCUUGA
RNAcentral lists this ribosomal RNA (592 nucleotides) under Saccharomyces cerevisiae (brewer's yeast). RNAcentral describes it as "partial large subunit ribosomal RNA". It matches the Rfam family "Eukaryotic large subunit ribosomal RNA", at positions 51 to 657 of the family's 3401-position model. The record is from RNAcentral. Lineage: Eukaryota; Fungi; Ascomycota; Saccharomycetes; Saccharomycetales; Saccharomycetaceae.